Molecule: non-coding RNA, 73 nt
Organism: Styela clava
Lineage: Eukaryota; Metazoa; Chordata; Ascidiacea; Stolidobranchia; Styelidae
Source: the annotation of a RefSeq genome assembly
AGAGCUAUAGCUUAGUGGUUACAGCGCACGCCCUAUAAGCGUGAGAUCUUGGGUUCGAUCCCCAAUAGCUCUA